GAUGAACGCUGGCGGCGUGCCUAAUACAUGCCAGUCGAGCGAACAGACGAGGAGCUUGCUCCUCUGACGUUAGCGGCGGACGGGUGAGUAACACGUGGAUAACCUACCUAUAAGACUGGGAUAACUUCGGGAAACCGGAGCUAAUACCGGAUAAUAUAUUGAACCGCAUGGUUCAAUAGUGAAAGACGGUUUUGCUGUCACUUAUAGAUGGAUCCGCGCCGCAUUAGCUAGUUGGUAAGGUAACGGCUUACCAAGGCAACGAUGCGUAGCCGACCUGAGAGGGGGGCCGGCCACACGGGACUGGGAAAGCGUGCCAAACCCCCACGGGGGGCAGGAGGAGGGAAGCUCCCGGAAAGGGCGAAAGCCUAAAGGAGCAACGCGGCGUGAGGGAGGAAGGUCUGCGGGUCGUAAAACUUUGUUUUUAGGGAAAAAAAAAUUGGAAAGAAACUAUGCCGGUUUUGGCGGUCCUUACUAAGAAAGCCCCGGCUAACUAGGG
RNAcentral lists this ribosomal RNA (496 nucleotides) under uncultured bacterium. RNAcentral describes it as "partial 16S ribosomal RNA". It matches the Rfam family "Bacterial small subunit ribosomal RNA", at positions 28 to 506 of the family's 1533-position model. The record is from RNAcentral.